Molecule: non-coding RNA, 1837 nt
Organism: Nicotiana tabacum (common tobacco)
Lineage: Eukaryota; Viridiplantae; Streptophyta; Magnoliopsida; Solanales; Solanaceae
Source: RefSeq, a predicted model, not a curated record
AAAUAUGUCAUCCGCCACCUUCAAUUCCUAGAUACGGCUCUGUCUCAAAUCCAAAAAUUAAAUCACGAAAAAGAGUGAAUAUUCACAUCCGCCGUGUGGUGCAACUCAACAGAUUCUAAGAAUAAACUUCCCUUCAAAUUAAUCGUCUUGUGAAAAUCGGUUUGGAAUCGUGAAGAAAGAAUCCAUCGUUUUUGUUGAACAAAGGUACCUGAAAGAAGGGGAAGAUCCAUAGCUGGGUUUUCUUUUUUUUUUGAAAAGACAAAAAACUCCUCGGGUUAAAGUGCUGCUAGCGUCUUUAUUGGGGGCAUUUAAGGAAAACAAAAGCUUUUUAGGUGUCUGAGGUCAUGAAUCUAAAAUUCCUUUGAAUUGAUUAGAGGAUUGGGUUUCAUGUUCUUAUGCCUUGUAGUUGCUGACUCAUUUAAUUGCAGAGAAGACAUAAAAAAUGGUAAAUUCUCUGGCUUUCACAUCUCCAGCAACCCUUAUCAGAUCCAAAAUUGGGACUUUAACUAGGGCAAAUGAGGCAUCUAUUCCGAUACGAUUAUUCAGAGUUGAGGCUUUGCAAGAUAAUGGCGGAGGGCCUCGGCGACUGGUUGAUAUUAUUCGUGUCGCGCCAGAGAUUUCAAGAAAUUAUUUUAAAAGCCCAUCAAGGAGGGCACUAUUUGGAGGUAUAUCAUUGCUGGGUGGAUUUUAUGUGGCUCAGACAAUUUCUCUAUCUUUUGGUGCUUUAGGAGUCAAUGAUGUCAUUGCUGCUGUAGUCUGCGUCUUAAUUACCGAGUAUGUGACGCGGUUUUAUUACAGUCGGCCUAAAGUGACUUUUCCAAUUGCUCUUUUGAAUAACUUCAAGAUGGGUUUUACUUAUGGUCUGUUCAUUGAUGCUUUCAAACUUGCCAGCUGAACUAAUUGCCCCAGUUUUGCAGCAGACAUCUUUCAUGUUCAGCCUCUCAUUAAGAGAUUCAACGGUAUAAUUCAAAGCCAACUCCAAAAUAGAGGACAUAAUGCACCUUUUUCUUGAAAUCAAUCUCUUCUGGUCCCAAUAAGGCGACAUUAAAAAUAUCCUCUGGUGUUGCAGAAUUUUACUCUACUACUGGUUGGCAAAUUAAUUGCAGAAGAGGUCUAAAUGAUUGGGAGAUGGAUGACAUAUGUCAGUUAUUACAGCAAUUGGAUGUUGUUGCUGUGGAAGAAAACAAGAGGGAUUCGUUGAUUUGGAUUGCAAGUAGGGAUAAGAAGUUCGCAGUCAAGAGUUGUUACAAUUUACUACAACAACAGAUAGGACACUGGGAAUCUGAUUGGCCAUGGAAAAUACUCUGGAAGACUAAAGCACAUGUAAAGGUGGCAUGUUUCGGGUGGAUUACUACUAUGGGAGCUUGUUUGACCCAAGAUAAUCUGCAGAAAAGAGGCUUUGCACUAAGUAAUAGAUGUUAUCUAUGUGAAAGAGACCAGGAAACUACAAAUCACCUUCUUCUACAUUGUGAAAUCUCAAGGCAGUGUUGGGAUCUUUUCUUGAAUAUCUGUGGAGUAUCCUGGGUAAUGCCCCACAAUGUUAGGAGUUUGCUGGAGAGCUGGCAGAGUCAAAGAAUAGCUAAAAGAUAGCAGCAAUUUUGGAAUACCAUUCCUCUAUGCAUCUUUUGGACUUUAUGGCUGGAAAGAAACAAGCGAUGCUUUGAAGGACAAAGAAGAUAUAUCUCUAGAAUUAAGAACAAUUGUCUGCAUAAUUUGUAUUUCUGGUGUAAGAGCAGUAUUAUGGAGAAUGUAGACCAAUAUUUAGACUUUAUUGAGAUGCUUGGAAUGUUAUUGUAACUGGCUAUUCUGGAGCCUUCUUUCAUGUAAUUUUGUGUCA